Molecule: ribosomal RNA, 384 nt
Filed under: uncultured bacterium
Lineage: Bacteria
Description: bacterial SSU rRNA
Rfam family: Bacterial small subunit ribosomal RNA
Source: RNAcentral
GAGGAAUAUUGGGCAAUGCCCGCAAGGGUGACCCAGCAACGCCGCGUGGAGGAUGAAUGUCGUAAGAUUGUAAACUCCUGUUAGAGGGGAAGAAUAGUACCGGUUGGACCGGUAUAUGACUGUACCCUCAGAGAAAGCCCCGGCUAACUACGUGCCAGCAGCCGCGGUAAUACGUAGGGGGCAAGCGUUGUCCGGAUUUACUGGGUGUAAAGGGCGCGCAGGCGGGAUAAAAAGUCAGUGGUGAAAUCCUACAGCUUAACUGUAGAACUGCCUUUGAUACUGUUAUUCUUGAGUUCGGGAGAGAGAGACGGAAUUCCAGGUGUAGUGGUGAAAUACGUAGAUAUCUGGAAGAACACCAGUUGCGAAGGCGGUCUCUUGGUCCGA